GUAGGGAAUAUUGCACAAUGGGCGAAAGCCUGAUGCAGCAACGCCGCGUGUGCGAAGAAGGCCUUCGGGUCGUAAAGCACUUUUCGGGGAGACGAGGAAGGACGGUACCCCCGGAAUAAGGAUCGGCUAACUACGUGCCAGCAGCCGCGGUAACACGUAGGAUCCGAGCGUUAUCCGAAUUCACUGGGCGUAAAGCGCGUGUAGGCGGUUGGAUAAGUUGGAUGUAAAAUCUCCUGGCUCAACUGGGAGAGGCCGUUCAAAACUAUCCGACUAGAGGACGGUAGAGGGAGGUGGAAUUCCCGGUGUAGUGGUGAAAUGCGUAGAUAUCGGGAGGAACACCAGAGGCGAAGGCGGCCUCCUGGGCCGUACCUGACGCUCAGACGCGAAAGCCAGGGGAGCGAACGGGAUUAGAAACCCCAGUAGUCC
This 426-nucleotide ribosomal RNA is filed under the name uncultured bacterium. RNAcentral's name for it is "bacterial SSU rRNA". It matches the Rfam family "Bacterial small subunit ribosomal RNA", at positions 354 to 796 of the family's 1533-position model. The record is from RNAcentral.